Pogonomyrmex barbatus (red harvester ant) is the source of this 384-nucleotide long non-coding RNA. The record is from RefSeq and is a predicted model, not a curated record. NCBI's taxonomy places the organism in Eukaryota, Metazoa, Arthropoda, Insecta, Hymenoptera, Formicidae.
AAGAAAUCAAAGUUUUUUGCCACUACGAAACAUCGCCAAGCUAUUCUUCGAAAGUAACGAAGAAUGACAUGCCCGGUAGAAAAGCGAUAAUGAGAAAAGCAACUUAAGGUAGGAGAUAUCUUUGGUAUGCUGGAAUCUAUUCGCAAACAAAAAUCAAACAAACAAAAAAUCAAUCAAUAAUUAAAAUAUUUAUCAUUAAUAAUGAUAAAUAUCGCCUUUGUAUGACGCGUCUUCGCAAUUACAAAAGUUUUUUCCAAAAAAUGUUCAAACUUGUUGACGAAUUGUUCACAGGUAUUUUAUUACAUUUUAAUUAACUUUAUCACCAUUGUUAAUCCAUUACUUUAACUAUAUUUUAAAUUCAACAGCUAUUUACACGGAAAAAAA